AAAUUGUAAACAAACACAGAUGGAGAUAGCCGUCGUGCUUCCCCCUUCCCGCGGCGAAAUCUCUCUCUCUGAAAUUUCGCUGCCGCGGUUCUUCGGUGGCGUCAGUCGCUGCUUCUGAAUCCGACGAUGCCCAUUUGAUGGCCAUAUCGCAAAACCCCAUUUCAAAAUUUUGAAAACCCUAAAAUAUGGAGAGUUGUUGCCUCGUCAGUGACGUAGGGCUGAAGGCAGUGGAGGAGCUCGCUUUGGUGUCGUGUGAUGGGUUAGAAGAGGUGAGGUUGAGGGGCUGUGGCAGAUCGAGCGACGAGGCGGUGAUUGUGAUGGUGAGGAGUUGCAGGAAUUUGAGCGGUGAAAAUUAAGGCGGUGAGGCAGACAUGGAUGAGAGGUUGUGCGUCCAGGGGUGGCGGUGGUGGUGGACAAUUCAACACACACACACAUACACACAGAGACAAUGAGGGCGGUGGAAAUCGAGGCGGCGACGGUGGCCUAUUUUGUUGCUGUUUGCAAAUGGAGAUUGGGGGCCGUUGUUUGUAGAUGGAGAUUGACAAACAUGGCUUUUGUACCUCAAUUCCAUAUGAUUUGUUGUCAUUUCUCUUCGUAUUUUGCUUGUCAAUGCAUGUUUGUACCCUAGUGUUGAGAUUUAUGACGAUUUGAUGUUUGGUUAUAGAUUUUGUGUGAUUUUAGGGAAAAUCAAAGAUAAAUUUGAUAAUUGUGAAAACAUGAGGUUGAAGUACAUCUUGAGAGGAAUCCAUAAGCGCAAACGGGGACCAAAUCAGAGUUCGAACGAGGGAGAACGGAG
This 796-nucleotide long non-coding RNA is filed under the name Salvia miltiorrhiza (redroot sage). Its description in RNAcentral is "long non-coding RNA (SMIL_LNC003614)". The record is from RNAcentral. Lineage: Eukaryota; Viridiplantae; Streptophyta; Magnoliopsida; Lamiales; Lamiaceae.